Molecule: ribosomal RNA, 467 nt
Filed under: uncultured bacterium
Lineage: Bacteria
Description: bacterial SSU rRNA
Rfam family: Bacterial small subunit ribosomal RNA
Source: RNAcentral
AACGAACGCUGGCGGCAUGGAUUAGGCAUGCAAGUCGAACGGUGAUAGCAAUAUCAUAGUGGCGCAAGGGUGAGGAACGCGUGAGUGAUCUACCCUCAAGUUUGGAAUAGCUCCUGGAAACGGGAAUUAAUACCGGAUGAGAUUGUGAGGCUGCAUGGCUUUACAAUGAAAGCAGCAAUGCGCUUGAGGAGGAGCUCGCGUCCCAUUAGCUAGUUGGUGAGGUAAAGGCCCACCAAGGCGAUGAUGGGUAGCUGGUCUGAGAGGACGACCAGCCACACUGGGACUGAGAACUGCCCAGACUCCUACGGGAGGCUGCAGUCGAGAAUUUUGGGCAAUGGACGAAAGUCUGACCCAGCAAUGCCGCGUGCGGGAUGAAGGUCUUCGGAUUGUAAACCGCUGUCGAGGGGACGAAAUAUGACGGUACCCCUGGAGGAAGCCACGGCUAACUACGUGCCAGCAGCCGCGGU